UUGGAGGGAUGAGCACUCGAUAAGCAGAAGCUAUUAUUGUGCCAUGAGUAAGUCUGAUGGGGCAGAACUGGGAAGCUGAAGCCUUUAUCUAGCGUUCCCAUGCCUCCACGCCCAGGUUCAUUCCUCUCUGGUUGGGCAGAGGGAGCAAGCCUCUAGGGAAGCAGCCCUCUUUCUAGGGAGGAAGGUGGUGGAGGACGGGUUGGGGAGGGAAGGACGUUAAUUGAACUCAGUCUAGGCUAACCCAAGAAAGGGAGGAGGGAGCCAGCAUUUGCCAAGCAUCUUGCCUGAAUCCGGAUCCCCUGCUUCAUCACCUUAACCCCCAACACUGUGUUGGGGGAUGAGGAUACCGAGUCUCGGCGAGGCUAAGUGACUACAGCCAAGUCAUGCGGUGCAAGUGGACGGCGUUCUGUGCUUGGCUGACAUCCUGACCGAUGACAGCCAUUCAGAGGCCACGCGGGCUGAGGCUGCGGCUGUGGUCGCCCAGGUCACCUCCCCACACCUGCCCUUUACUCAGCACCUCGGCAGCUUUCUGGAGAGCAUGGAAGAAAUCGUGACAGCUCUCAUCAAACUGUGCCAAGAGGCGUCGUCUGGGGAAGUCUUCCUGCUGGCUUCUGCGGCCCUUGCCAACAUCACCUUCUUUGACACGAUGGCCUGCGAGAUGCUUCUCCAGCUGAACGCCAUCCGUGUCCUCCUGGAAGCUUGCAGCGACAAGCAGAGAGUGGAUACGCCUUACACCCGGGAUCAGGUGAGCAGCCCAGAGGGGAGCAGGCACAGAGCCUGAACCCACUCUCUACCUCAC
Molecule: long non-coding RNA, 799 nt
Organism: Ailuropoda melanoleuca (giant panda)
Lineage: Eukaryota; Metazoa; Chordata; Mammalia; Carnivora; Ursidae
Exons: 3
Source: RefSeq, a predicted model, not a curated record